This 412-nucleotide ribosomal RNA is filed under the name uncultured bacterium. RNAcentral describes it as "bacterial SSU rRNA". It matches the Rfam family "Bacterial small subunit ribosomal RNA", at positions 505 to 916 of the family's 1533-position model. The record is from RNAcentral.
GUGCCAGCCGCCGCGGUAACACGUAGGGGGCAAGCGUUGUCCGGAAUUACUGGGCGUAAAGCGCGCGUAGGCGGUUUGUUAAGUGAGGUGUGAAAGCCCAGGGCUCAACCUUGGAACUGCAUCUCAUACUGGCAGGCUAGAGUACGGUAGAGGGGGGUAGAAUUCCAUGUGUAGCGGUGAAAUGCGUAGAGAUGUGGAGGAAUACCAGUGGCGAAGGCGGCCCCCUGGAUCGAUACUGACGCUAAGGUGCGAAAGCGUGGGGAGCAAACAGGAUUAGAUACCCUGGUAGUCCACGCUGUAAACGAUGUCAACUAGCCGUUGGAAGGGUAAUCCUUUUAGUGGCGUAGCUAACGCGCUAAGUUGACCGCCUGGGGAGUACGGUCGCAAGGUUGAAACUCAAAUAAAUUGGCGG